GAGUUUNGAUCCUGGCUCAGGACGAACGCUGGCGGCGUGCUUAACACAUGCAAGUCGAACGAUGAAGCCUUUCGGGGUGGAUUAGUGGCGAACGGGUGAGUAACACGUGGGCAAUCUGCCCUUCACUCUGGGACAAGCCCUGGAAACGGGGUCUAAUACCGGAUAACACUCUGUCCCGCAUGGGACGGGGUUAAAAGCUCCGGCGGUGAAGGAUGAGCCCGCGGCCUAUCAGCUUGUUGGUGGGGUAAUGGCCUACCAAGGCGACGACGGGUAGCCGGCCUGAGAGGGCGACCGGCCACACUGGGACUGAGACACGGCCCAGACUCCUACGGGAGGCAGCAGUGGGGAAUAUUGCACAAUGGGCGAAAGCCUGAUGCAGCGACGCCGCGUGAGGGAUGACGGCCUUCGGGUUGUAAACCUCUUUCAGCAGGGAAGAAGCGAAAGUGACGGUACCUGCAGAAGAAGCGCCGGCUAACUACGUGCCAGCAGCCGCGGUAAUACGUAGGGCGCAAGCGUUGUCCGGAAUUAUUGGGCGUAAAGAGCUCGUAGGCGGCUUGUCACGUCGGAUGUGAAAGCCCGGGGCUUAACCCCGGGUCUGCAUUCGAUACGGGCUAGCUAGAGUGUGGUAGGGGAGAUCGGAAUUCCUGGUGUAGCGGUGAAAUGCGCAGAUAUCAGGAGGAACACCGGUGGCGAAGGCGGAUNUCUGGGCCAUUA
This 714-nucleotide ribosomal RNA is filed under the name Streptomyces cyaneofuscatus. Its description in RNAcentral is "bacterial SSU rRNA". It matches the Rfam family "Bacterial small subunit ribosomal RNA", at positions 9 to 739 of the family's 1533-position model. Lineage: Bacteria; Bacillati; Actinomycetota; Actinomycetes; Kitasatosporales; Streptomycetaceae. The record is from RNAcentral.